Molecule: long non-coding RNA, 767 nt
Organism: Myzus persicae (green peach aphid)
Lineage: Eukaryota; Metazoa; Arthropoda; Insecta; Hemiptera; Aphididae
Exons: 6
Source: RefSeq, a predicted model, not a curated record
GGCAGAGAGUGCGGCCAUAGAUACAUAUACGUUACGUACAAAUUACGUACUUAUGGGUCCGUGUACGGCCCGAAGAAUAAUCAAUGUCCAGUCAAUGUCUUCAGAAUAUUAUGUACGUCGUACGACCACCAUAACAAUGUUCCAAACGUAAAAAGCCGUUUCUUGGCUUACAGCCACUAGCCAAAUCGGUUUCGCUAUAGAUUAUCGUGGGCUGUAAAAACUAAAAAAUCGAAUCGCAUCAAGUCGCGGUGUGCUGCCCGACACAACAAUAACGUAGGUACACAGCCGGAUGAACAGUGUUUGUAGCGGUGAGAACCGUCCCGCUAUCUACCUUCGAGAAGUAGCAUUAGUGGCACGAACUUACGGCAACGUAACGCCAUCUGUGGCCCGAGUCCGACAAGCACGAGUUUGCCACCAGAGUUCGCUACGACAUUGAUUCGCUCGCCAACGGACUUUUAUUUAUUCGUCUAGGGAGGAUGCGCUUAAUCACCGAGAAGGUCUCAGUCGCUCAGAAUACGCGAUCCAAGACCCAGAUUUACAAUUUUCGAACAGAUAAACUAGGCCAUGUUCCAGAGUGUGCAGACAUCAACGAAACGUGUAACAAUAUAUUGGUUUUCAAGUCAUGCAAAGGAUUAUUAAUGAUAAAUCCUGCAGGGACUGGAACCAAUACGCAAACGACCAUGGUGGACUAUUGUCCAUUAUUGAACCGGAAUAUAUUUGAAAAAAAUACACACUCAACCGAAACAGAAAUAUUUAGUUUUACUAUC